GACGAACCGUACGAACGUUAUUCGGAAUCACUGGGCUUAAAGGGUGCGUAGGCUGCGCGGAAAGUUGGGUGUAAAAUCCCUCGGCUCAACCGAGGAACUGCGCCCAAAAACUGCCGUGCUCGAGGGAGACAGAGGUGAGCGGAACUUAGGGUGGAGCGGUGAAAUGCGUUGAUAUCCUAAGGAACACCGGUGGCGAAAGCGGCUCACUGGGUCUCUUCUGACGCUGAGGCACGAAAGCUAGGGUAGCGAACGGG
RNAcentral lists this ribosomal RNA (254 nucleotides) under uncultured bacterium. RNAcentral describes it as "partial 16S ribosomal RNA". It matches the Rfam family "Bacterial small subunit ribosomal RNA", at positions 524 to 776 of the family's 1533-position model. The record is from RNAcentral.